RNAcentral lists this non-coding RNA (264 nucleotides) under Bacillus sp. (in: firmicutes). RNAcentral's name for it is "Bacillus sp. T-box sequence". It matches the Rfam family "T-box leader". From Rfam's summary of the family: Uncharged tRNA acts as the effector for transcription antitermination of genes in the T-box leader family. T-boxes are found upstream of many aminoacyl-tRNA synthetase genes and some amino acid biosynthetic genes usually in Gram-positive bacteria. The anticodon of a specific tRNA base pairs to a specifier sequence within the T-box motif, and the NCCA acceptor tail of the tRNA base pairs to a conserved bulge in the T-box antiterminator hairpin. Lineage: Bacteria; Bacillati; Bacillota; Bacilli; Caryophanales; Bacillaceae. The record is from RNAcentral.
AUAAAAACGUUGAUGGAGAAAAGUAACUUAUAUCCUUCCAUAUAGGGAGAAAAUGCCUUAGACUGAAAGCAUUUUUAUGGGUAGUGGUAAGUGAAGUUCACCUCCGGAGUUGGCAUUAGGACCAUUUCGAUAAGCGGUCAUUUCCGCUUUUCUAUUGGAAAUGUAAAGAUGCACCGGCCUAAGCCGUUAUCCGAAUGAAGCGAACAAGCUCAUUUUUUUGCUUGUUAAUAAGGGUGGUACCGCGAACCAAACCUCGUCCCUUUU